CGGCGAGUGAAGCGGCAACAGCUCAAAUUUGAAAUCUGGCUUUCGGGCCCGAGUUGUAAUUUGUAGAGGAUGAUUUUGAUGCGGUGCCUUCCGAGUUCCCUGGAACGGGACGCCAUAGAGGGUGAGAGCCCCGUCUGGUUGGAUGCCAAAUCUCUGUAAAUCUCCUUCGACGAGUCGAGUAGUUUGGGAAUGCUGCUCUAAAUGGGAGGUAUAUGUCUUCUAAAGCUAAAUACCGGCCAGAGACCGAUAGCGCACAAGUAGAGUGAUCGAAAGAUGAAAAGCACUUUGAAAAGAGAGUUAAAAAGUACGUGAAAUUGUUGAAAGGGAAGCGUUUAUGACCAGACUUGGGCUUGGUUAAUCAUCUGGGGUUCUCUCCAGUGCACUUUUCCAGCCCAGGCCAGCAUCAGUUUUCGCCGGGGGAUAAAGACUUCGGGAAUGUGGCUCCCCUCGGGGAGUGUUAUAGCCCGUUGUGUAAUACCCUGGUGGGGACUGAGGUUCGCGCUUCUGCAAGGAUGCUGGCGUAAUGGUCAUCAACGACCCGUCUUGAAACACGGACCAAGGAGUCGUCUUCGUAUGCGAGUGUUCGGGUGUCAAACCCCUACGCGUAAUGAAAGUGAACGCAGGUGAGAGCUUCGGCGCAUCAUCGACCGAUCCUGAUGUUCUCGGAUGGAUUUGAGUAAGAGCAUACGGGGCCGGACCCGAAAGAAGGUGAACUAUGCCUGUGUAGGGUGAAGCCAGAGGAAACUCUGGUGGAGGCUCGCAGCGGUUCUGACGUGCAAAUCGAUCGUCAAAC
Molecule: ribosomal RNA, 793 nt
Filed under: Fusarium culmorum
Lineage: Eukaryota; Fungi; Ascomycota; Sordariomycetes; Hypocreales; Nectriaceae
Description: partial large subunit ribosomal RNA
Rfam family: Eukaryotic large subunit ribosomal RNA
Source: RNAcentral